GCGGUCGUGGCGGAACUGGCAGACGCGCACGCUUGAGGGGCGUGUGGUAUUAACCGUGUGGGUUCGAUUCCCACCGACCGCACCA
Molecule: transfer RNA, 85 nt
Filed under: Candidatus Saccharimonadota bacterium
Lineage: Bacteria; Candidatus Saccharimonadota
Description: tRNA-Leu
Rfam family: tRNA
About the family: Transfer RNA (tRNA) molecules are approximately 80 nucleotides in length. Their secondary structure includes four short double-helical elements and three loops (D, anti-codon, and T loops). Further hydrogen bonds mediate the characteristic L-shaped molecular structure. tRNAs have two regions of fundamental functional importance: the anti-codon, which is responsible for specific mRNA codon recognition, and the 3' end, to which the tRNAs corresponding amino acid is attached (by aminoacyl-tRNA synthetases). tRNAs cope with the degeneracy of the genetic code in two manners: having more than one tRNA (with a specific anti-codon) for a particular amino acid; and 'wobble' base-pairing, i.e. permitting non-standard base-pairing at the 3rd anti-codon position.
Source: RNAcentral